GCUAUAUAUAUAUAUAUACACACACACACACACACACACAUUAUUUUUAUUAAAAUUAACAAAGAGAUCUGAUGGUGUUUUAUUUGUUCAGGACGGGCGUCUGAUAGCAGAUCCAUCAGAUCCUCAAACACUGAUUGUUCCUGUGACGGCUGUAAAAUCUGAUCGUCUCGUCACGUCUCACUGUGUGAAUCUGAAUCAUGAAAUCAUCUGUGAUUCUGCUGAUGGAGUAAAUCAACUUAAUCGCUCAACAUUCAUCUGUUUUCAUUAUCAGUAUCCUUAUGUUCGUUGGGUGAAAAAGAAAACCUCAAUAAACAAAGUAAAAAAGAAUUUGACUGAUAUCAUUCNUGAGAUAAACUCUGUGUUGAACUGAAUCUUGUGUGAAUCUUCAAGUGAAUCAGGAUGAUUGUGGAUGUGUUUUUCAGUGAGGAAUGAAACUGCAGCGACUCCAAACUCAGGUGAGGUUCAGCUGAUAAACGUCUGAUUAUUCACUAAUAAAACACUGCAGAUCUGAUCCACUUUCACUCUUUUCUCUCAUAUUGACUCAUAUUUGCGAUCACUGUGAAGAUCUCCUGAAUGAAGUGACUCCAGAUCUCCAUCAUUCAGUAGAUCACUUCUGGUGGCUUUUGGCUGUUUUCAUCAUUGUUCUUCUCAUCAUCUUCUUGAUCCGUAAAAGGAUCUUCAGGUGACGUGAUCAAUCUUAAAGAAUCGUUAAAUCUCACUCUAUAUUUCAUCAUGAAUCACAUUUCUCUUCAUCUUCAGAUUACUGAAUCUAUCAGUCUGAAUGAACUCAGGUCUGUGCUGGAUGUGAUAAUAUGUAAUAAUCAGAUUCAAUCUGUUGUCAGAUGUUUUCAGAGGUUCAUCUGUCAGCGUGACGAAGAUGAUUCAGAAAACAGGGAUCCUGAAGCUGCUGUCCAAAUGAUCUGAUGCUCCUGAUUCACUGAAUCAAUCUCAGUGUGAAUCGACUCACGUCAUUUACUCAAACGUCACUGUGAUCUUUGACAUGAAGAUGAUGAAGGGAGUUUGCAUUCAUUCUGAGCUUCUCAACUCUUAUUUAUUCUCAUUCGUCCUCAAAUGUAAUGCAUAUGAUUACAUGAGAUAUAAAACACUGAAGCAUCUUACAAUCAAAAUGUGUUGCGUUUGUUUUGUACAUCAUUUAUCAGUUUAAUAAUUCAUGAUCAUUUCGUCAUUUACAUCUAUUCAUUCAAUCGUUUAUAUUGUUUUAUUAUGUUUUAGAUUAUUGUUAUUAGGUUGUUCAUCCUGGUGUUUUUCAUGCUUCAUGUAAUGUGUGUCAUCAUGAAUGAGACGAGGGUGAAUGUCUCCAGCUGCAGGGUUUUAAAGGAUGUCUUGUUAUACAGUAAUAACUCUUGCUGUAGGUUGUACUGAUCAGAUGAAGUCUGACUGAGCAGUGAAACAGACACAACUAAGGUUUUGCAGAGGAGCAGUCAUCUGAGUGUUCAAACUAAAAUCAGGUGGAAAGAACAGGGAGGAGAGGAAAAAUAAACAGAUGAAGUAUCAGAUUGGUGAUGUAUGU
Molecule: long non-coding RNA, 1531 nt
Organism: Cyprinus carpio (common carp)
Lineage: Eukaryota; Metazoa; Chordata; Actinopteri; Cypriniformes; Cyprinidae
Source: Ensembl